Non-coding RNA from Paramuricea clavata, 577 nucleotides. NCBI's taxonomy places the organism in Eukaryota, Metazoa, Cnidaria, Anthozoa, Malacalcyonacea, Plexauridae. The record is from the annotation of a GenBank genome assembly.
CGUGAAAGAAGGUCAUGGCAGUUAGGGUGCCCUUCAAAAGGAUGUCGAAUGGUACCAGUGGUACCGUUGGUAAUUUACGAUAGGGUUACUGAUCGUAAAAGUAAGUUUACCAUCCGUGAACCAAGGGCCAUGGCAAUUGGCGUACCCUUCAAAAUAAUAUCGAAUGGUACCAGUGGUACCAUUGGUAAGAUAUGAUUAUGGAUCGUGAAACUAAGUUUACCAUCCGUGAACCAAGGGUCAUUGCAGUUGGGGUACCCUUCAAAAUAAUGUCGAAUGGUACCAGUGGUACCGUUGGUAAGAUAGGGUUACUGUUCGUGAAAGUAAGUUUACCAUCCGUGAACCAAGGGCCAUGGCAGUUGGGGUACCCUUAAAAAUAAUGUCGAAUGGUACCAGUGGUACCGUUGGUAAGAUAGGGUUACGCGUCGUGAAACUAAGAUUACCAUCCCUUAAUUAUGUUCAAAUUGUUGCAAAAAUCGAUAUUUUGAUGCGUAUUAAAAGCUAUAUAAUAUGCUUAUAUAGUAUAGCCUAAAGGGAUAUUAGCUAAUAAUAUUAAAAUUUAUAUAAUAUAUAUCAUGAG